ACGGGAGGCAGCAGUGGGGAAUUUUGCGCAAUGGGCGAAAGCCUGACGCAGCAACGCCGCGUGAGUGAUGAAGGCCUUCGGGUCGUAAAGCUCUGUCAGAGGGGAAGAAACACCCAGAGGCUAAUAUCCUCUGGGCCUGACGGUACCCACAAAGGAAGC
Molecule: ribosomal RNA, 159 nt
Filed under: uncultured bacterium
Lineage: Bacteria
Description: partial 16S ribosomal RNA
Rfam family: Bacterial small subunit ribosomal RNA
Source: RNAcentral